Molecule: long non-coding RNA, 2112 nt
Organism: Anopheles stephensi (Asian malaria mosquito)
Lineage: Eukaryota; Metazoa; Arthropoda; Insecta; Diptera; Culicidae
Exons: 2
Source: RefSeq, a predicted model, not a curated record
ACAAUCCUUCUAAGUGGAAGUGUAAUGGUGUCCGAAGCUGGCAGGCAUGAAGUACAUAUAAAAUGAGCGUUUGCCACACUGCAGUCGAGCAGUCCGGGCCCGGCUCGAGUGCAUUAAGAUGCGGAGCGGGUUUUUGCCGAGGCUUCGUUCGUUAGUUUUUUCUACCCCUUUCUUGUGUUUUUUGUUCAGCUUCUUAGUCUUUCUGUGUGUGUGUGGCGCUAUUUGCCACACCCAAUUCCUGUACCCGUGGCUGCGGGAGACACUGAUUUCUUCCAAGGAUUGCACUUUCACAGGAAGGAAUGUGGAGACUUUCCCCGUGGUUUAUCUGUACGUCGGCACGCGGUUUAAAAUUUCCCCACGCUUCAGCGCGUUUAAGUGUUUCAACGGUCUAAUGCAAAGCUGUUGCAAUCUUCCGUGGGACCGACUGGCAGUAAGGACUUCGGAAUGCCAAGGCAAGGUAUCCGGGUGGCAAGUGCGGUAGGAGGUAUCACACAAAUGAAAGCACUGCACCAGGGUGAAGUUAAUACUGCGGCUUACGGGCUUGGUGAUGGAGCAGGAUGAUUAAGCCGCGUGAAAAUGGUUGCCCGCCGAUGUCGCUGCCACCGAUACCGCUCUGGAAGGACCGACACUACACGGUGCGGUAGCAGCAUUUGUUUGCGUUUUGUUGCAGGCAACACUUUCCAGUGCUUGUAGUUUAUCGAUCUUACGAUACCCUUGCGGGAUGUGGGUUUGCGAAAAAAGGGGUACAAGUGAGCGAAUGGGGAACGAUUGUGCAGUGAAUAUGGCCGCUAGCUGUGUAGUGGGGAAUCGGGCACUGCUCGUUAGUAAAUGACACCCGGGGUAAUAUUUUGGGCCAUGCCGAAAGGCGAAAGACGUACAGAAGCUCGCCCUUGAGAACUGUACGGUAGGUGGUUGUCUUUGUCGAGCGAUUGUGCUUAAUAUUUACGGUAGGGAAGGUAGUAUUAAAAGGAGGAUCACUGGAAGCUGUGGUGGAUUCUGUUAAUAUUAGUGUACGGAAAAGGAUCUUUAAUACGCGCAUGGGAUAUUAAACGCGUAAUUUAUUUCUUUAGACCUGCAAAUAGUAAAUCAAGAUUUAUUAGAGUACGAUGUGAAAUGUUUGUUAUAAGCUUUUCUUUAAACUAUUAGAUUAAGCUUGAAUACUUGGCAAUUGACAGGAAUCAAUCAUCAGGUUACAGUGAAGGUCAAUAGAAUAAGACCAAAUAUUUUUGUAAUAUCGUAAAGUGUAGGAGUUGAUGCUGAUUUUAAAUGAACGAAUAAACAAAUAAUACAAAAUUUAUUUGAAAAUUUUGGUAAAACGAUUCUAUCAUUGGAAGAAUAAAAAAAUCGAUUCUUAGUAUCUGUUUGUCCUCUUCAUGAAAAUGUGACCUAAUAUUCUGAAUAUGAGCAUAUUUAGGGUAAAAUAAGGCUUUUAAUUAAAUGGUCUUAUUAUUUAUUUUGUCGUGGUCCGGUGACCGUGGCAAUAGCGGCGCCGUCCUUCACACGACAGGACUUCAGUUCAAUUCCCAGUCCAGUCGGCCUCCUUGUAUGCAGGGCCGACUAUCCAACUACGGCUACAAUUUCAAGGUUGUAGUAGAUAGUAGCCUAGGAAGAAGGAAAAGAAUAUUGUUAUAGAAUAUAGUUUUUGGGUUCUCAUCUUUCUAUUUCUGAAUUUUAAAGUAUUCCAAACUUUUUUAUGAGCUAGACCUUGUAUAUAUCAACUUUAAAGAUUGAUUUUUUACCAUUUUUUUUGAUAAUUUCAAAAAGAAUACAACAUUGAUAUAGAAAGAUAAAAUAUUGAUGAUGCUUCUGAAAUUUAGGUAUGAUUACGUCUAGUAAACAUUUCGAAAAAAGUAGUUUGAAAAUCUUAUUUAGAAGUGGUUCUAUUAUAUUAUCCAUCACUGUAUUUAAAUUGAAGUUUAAAACAACACGUAACAAGUGAUAAAAAAUAUGGUAGAAAAAGACUUAGUAAACAUAAAGCUAGAGUAGACCUCACCCAUGAUUAUUUGCAUGAAGAAGCUAAACUAAGCACGGCAUGAAACCGUAAUAAUGAAAACCUAAUAAAAAUAAAUAAUUCCGCUAAUAUAUUAAUAACCGUAUAAUAUUAAUCCAAAA